Long non-coding RNA from Papaver somniferum (opium poppy), 2812 nucleotides. RefSeq lists it as uncharacterized. The transcript has 2 exons. NCBI's taxonomy places the organism in Eukaryota, Viridiplantae, Streptophyta, Magnoliopsida, Ranunculales, Papaveraceae. The record is from RefSeq and is a predicted model, not a curated record.
CUAAAAAAAAUAACGUUUCAAUCAUCUAUAAUCACCGAUGUUCUCUCUUUCUUUUCUGUGACGCCCAGCCUCUCCCACUUUUCUUUCUUACGGAGAAACCCUAGCCUUAAUCCUUUCUGCCUCUGAUCUUCCCUUUCUCCCUUUUCUUUUUUCCUCAUGAUUUUUUUUAUUAUAUCUUGAUUCGUAGGUUUUAUUUUCUGGAAAUUUUAUUCUAACCCGUGCUCAUGUUUUUGUGUUUGUUUGUUGCAGUGGUUCAUGUUUAUAAUCUCACAGUCGAGUGAUUGCACUCCCGUGUUGGGUAGGGUUCUGAUUUACUAUCUUUAGCUCUUCACUCUUCUGCAUCAAAUAAUUGGUGGUUUUCUUUCGCUGUUUAUUUUUCCUUCACCAUGGUCAGGUGUAGCUCUCUGAAUCCCAGUCAGAGCAUAAAAACCAAGCCCUAAAUUUCUUCUCAUCCCUUCCCAAAUCUCUUAUGAUAAAAUUGAAAAAAAUCUUUUCUCCCAGUUGUCUUACAGCAUAUCACAUGAUAGCAUAUUGGGUAGGGUUCUGAUUUACUAUCUUUAGCUCUUCACUCUUCUGCAUCAAAUAAUUGGUGGUUUUCUGUCGCUGUUUAUUUUUCGUUCACCAUGGUCAGGUGUAGCUAUGGCACAAGAUUUUCAAGCUUUCUGAAUCCCAGUCAGAUCAUAAAAACCAAGCCCUAAAUUUCUUCACAUCCCUUCCCAAAUCUCUUAUGUCAUGAAAAUUAUUUUUCUGGAUUUUUGAUAAAAUUGAAAAAAAUCUUUUCUCCCAGUUGUCUUAAGACAUAUCACAUGAUAGCAAUGCGGAGUAGUAAGUAUGAUGCUUGCAGAAGAAAAGGAAGGAAUUUGCGAGUAAAGGAAUGAUCGUGGAGGUUGUAAAGGUUAUGCAUAUCCUGGACCCCAGCUUCUUUGAGCAUAAUCCUAUUCCUCUUCUUCAUAUCAUCUUUGUGUAGAUUCUUUGUUUUGUAGGGAUUAUGAACACUGGUGCAAAAUAUUGUUAAUAGAAAUGUAUGAGAUUCUUAUCUGCGAAAUUUAAAACUGUUUGCAAGAACUGAAGGGUGGAAAUUCUUAAGAGCUAAUAGAUCGAAAUCCAGCAAUUCUGAAGAGCUAAUGAUGCUUUUCAUGAACAUGAAAUCCAGCUAUUCCCUGGUCAAAUUGAAUGGGCAAGUCUUAUAGACUUUUCACAAUUAAUUUGAGAGGCAUGGUGGUGUGUUGGUUUAGUCAUUGUUCAUUUCUUUAAUUAUUUGUAAAUCUAAUUUUGGAAUUAAGAUCAAGUGAUAUGAAAGAUGUGGUACAGGUCUCUAUAGAUACUUUUCAAUGUAGUUUAAUAUGGAUACUUUUCAUUGACUAAUGCUAGAAACAAUCAUACAGACUUCAAUUUCUUUUUGUUGACUAAUGCUAGAGAUAUUUCUACAGGGAUCCAAUUUAUUUAUAUUGAGGCAUAUAGACGGAGUCAUGGAGAUGUUUUUAGCAUUAGUUUCUGCAAUGGUUCCCAAAAUUAAAACUAAUGGGGUGAAAAUUGUGCAGUACGUAAGUAAUUUAAUUACAAAGGUAUUCAAACAAGCCAGUAUAAGUGAAUUUCAGGUUCUUCUUUGGUCUAGAUACUCUAAACAUACAGACUUUUACGGUCCUAAAUGUGCAUUUGUUUUAGACCACAGAUGGCGUUCUCUACUGGACAGUUAAUAUACACAAUCCCCUCCGCAUGGGAGAGAGAUUAAUUUUUUUUAAUGAACUCAAUCAGAUUCAGUUCCUUAAUGGUUCAUAUGGGUUCAUUUCUUUUUUUCCCAUACCUUAUUUGCUGGCUAUAAUUAGUCAUGUUCAUAUAUUAUUGCUGUAUAGGUUUUAAAUCCGAAAAAAGUAAAAAGUGUUCAGUAGUGGCAUUUUAGUCACCCCUACAAGGAUUAAUUACACAUGGAUAUUGGUGUCAUCCCCUGAUGCCUAUUUUGAUUUUGGUCACUACCCUUUAGACUUUAGCACUUAAUUUGGUCCAUAAUGAAGUAUGGUACAGAUUUCAACCACGUCUUCUAUCCUUUCUCCGCUAAUAUUGGUAGUAUAGGCAUGUCUUCUAUGAAGCUUAGGAAUAUUUAACUAACUCAAUGAGAAUUGAACUCAUUCAUGAUUAUUCUUACAGUUUGGUGGUUGUUUUCCAAGUCAAUAAGUAUUACUGUUCUGUUAUUCUUUAUACAUCUCUUGAACUUUCAGUUCUAUUUCCAUUGCAUGGUAUUUGUACACAAUCUAGAAAUAGAUGGAUAUCUAACCUGCCACUUCUUUAUUUUAGAUGAUGAUUUUCCAAGUUAAUUGUAAUGUUGAUGUUGGGUUUCUUUUGUUGAAAUUAGGAGGAAGAUUCUGAAUUGAUUAUGAUAACCGGACAGGUAGCUUUCUGUUGACAAGGAUAUAAUCAGAGGAAUGCAGCAUAAGCCCAUGUUGGAGGCAGGAAAUGUUUCCGACAAAUAUGGCCACGGCGGGAAGAGAAGCUGUUCAUGAUGUUGCUAUGAGUUGAGCAUCCAGAUAUUAGAAUGCCACCACUAUUUGGCAUGAUGCUCCUUUUGGACAAAAGUUUGGACACAUCGUCUACAUAGAAAACUAAAGUUAUUCGUGGACAGGCUGCCGGUGCUGCUGCUAAGGCAGACAAGCUUAGUUCAUGGCUGUAUAGAUAUUAGUGUGUAAAGAGAACUAAAAUUAGGUCUCUUUGUGAACCACACGGUCUGUUGUUUGACAAAAUACCGAAUGUAACAACUUUAUUUGGUGUAAGUACUCACUGUGGAAGUCAGUUCAACAAUACUAUCAGAAAAUGACCG